This is a long non-coding RNA of Schistocerca serialis cubense, 1584 nucleotides long. RefSeq lists it as uncharacterized. The record is from RefSeq and is a predicted model, not a curated record. Lineage: Eukaryota; Metazoa; Arthropoda; Insecta; Orthoptera; Acrididae. The transcript is spliced from 2 exons.
UAGAAGUUACUGUAAAGCGUGGGACUUCAAAUUUGUGUCGGAAAUAACUGGUUUUUAUUUAGCGUUUGUGACUAGUAACAGUAACGUUCUUCAUCAGUCAGUGAAUUACCAUAGUUUGCACUUGACUGCAUGUAUUAAAUGCGGAAAAUCCGUACUGGAAAGAGACAACACUGACUAUUGACAUACCAACCAUCACAGCAGCACUUGUUCUGCUAAGCACAGUCCUUGUUUUGUAUGAAGAAGACAAACCACAAGACUGAGUAUGUACCCAGCCAUGGUUCAGAUUCCAAUCUACUGGAUACUCUAAGCAUAAAAACAGCAGAAGGAAGAUGAACCCACAGGUGAGUGGUAUUAAGGACAAUUGAUUCAUUUUAGCUUGUAAGUUUAGAAUAGAGAAUUAGAAGUUAUUGCAUAAGAAGACUAGAAAUGAAAUAAAUUCCACAGUGUUUUGAAUUAAGGAGCAGAGCAAGGCGACCUGUAGAUAUGUCUAAGAUUGGUUGGUUGGUUUGGGGGAUUAAAGGGACCAGACUGCGACGGUCAUCGGUCCUAUGUCUAAGAUUAAGUGACAGGUUUAAGGAGAACCCGAAUAAUAAUUAAGAGGCAAAACAGAGCCAGAAGGGGUGGUUGCCACUAACUAUAGUGUAAAGGAUAAUCUAGUUUGGUCGAUCCAAGGAGCCAGGUCUUGAUAAACAAGAGGGCAAUAUAGAGUAUCAACCAUGUUCAGUCACAAAUAGAACACCAAACUGGAAGUGAGCUGCAACAGAGCUGUCAGCAGCUCGUGGUCAUGCGGUAGCGUUCUCGCUUCCCGCGCCCGGGUUCCUGGGUUCAAUUCCCAGUGGGGUCAGCGAUUUUCUCUGCCUCGUGAUGACUGGGUGUUGUGUGAUGUCCUUAGGUUAGUUAGGUUUAAGUAGUUCUAAGCUCUAGGGGACUGAUGACCAUAGAUGUUAAGUCCCAUAGUGCUCAGAGCCAUUUGAUUUUUGCAACAGAGCUAGCUGCAGGCAGGCAGGAGUGUUAUGCAUUACGAAGCAAAACACAGCUGACAGGCAUCACGAAGAGAGCCAGCAUGGUAUAACAACAGCCAAUGCUACAACACACUAGUGGAACAACAGAAGCCUUUCCUCACUUGCCUUAAGCCUUAAAUGAACAUAGUCUGGAGCAUAUAAGUACUCAGCCAUUUAUGUACUAAAAUAUUCUCUUCUCAGUUUCACAGGCUACAAACAAGUCUGUGAUGCCCAGAUCAACAUCCUAGAAUGAAGUACAGGGUGCGCUGUUCGACCACGGGACAGGGCAGCCUGCCCUGAGUCAUGAAAGCAGCCGCCGCUGGAGAAGAGAGCCGCCCGCUUGCUGGAGGGAGGCCAAGGCUGCUUCCAUGGAAUUGUCAGCUGUGCUGCCAUGCUGUCAUCAUGGUUGCAGCCAGAGACAUCACUAAUAGCUGCAUUCAAGUGACACCAUGCUCAGCCCUGCCCUUUGCACCAUCAGUAAUGCCAGACAUCUAUUGUUUUGCAUUAGGCAACUGUACACUUCCACCAAGCUGUUCCUGCUGUACUAUGGCCAAGGGCUGGAAUAAAGAGGUUAAUUAAACAA